RNA transcript from Tribolium castaneum (red flour beetle), 575 nucleotides. RefSeq lists it as hypothetical. The transcript is spliced from 3 exons. Lineage: Eukaryota; Metazoa; Arthropoda; Insecta; Coleoptera; Tenebrionidae. The record is from RefSeq and is a predicted model, not a curated record.
UCAGAAGCGGGUGAUCUUGGUUAUCCCAUAAUCGGUGCGAUGAUUUUAUAGCCAAUUAAUUAAUUAGACUAAUGGCUGUGUUUUUAUCUAAAUUUUAUAAAUCGCGUUUUUAUGAAAAAAUUUUUAUUAAAAAUCGUGGUUUGUCACAAACGUCACACAUUAAUCAUUUGCACGUUCUACUAAAUUGUCAGUGAUAAAAACCCUCAAUCAUGCAGUAUUUCGAUGGAGCGGCUUUGGAAGAAUUAAUGAACAUGAUCCAGUCAAAAGACGAGAUGCAGGCAAUAUUUUUCCUAAGUCUGUGUUUUCUAGGAGCUUGGGUUGCCCUAUCUUGGAUGAUUCAGUUGCUCCGGUCCAUUUUGUGGAUUUGGCCCUUGUUUCUCCUCACUGCACUUUUACUAGCCUUGCCAUCACUUCGAAUGACUUUGACGCAAGAAAUUAUCCCGAAACAAGUCGACGAUCUUAUCACAAUCAUCGAUAACAAGUACUACCACCAUUAUGACAACGACAGUGUAAAGUGGUAUUAAAACAUAUUUGUGACGAGCUUUUGAAUAAAGUUUCCAAUACUGAGCCGACAA